RNAcentral lists this long non-coding RNA (2151 nucleotides) under Moschus moschiferus (Siberian musk deer). RNAcentral's name for it is "lncRNA (ENSMMSG00000010045.1)". The stretch from base 1022 to 1093 matches the Rfam family "tRNA". Lineage: Eukaryota; Metazoa; Chordata; Mammalia; Artiodactyla; Moschidae. The record is from RNAcentral.
AUGUCGCCAGCUUCCGAGGCAGCUCCGCCAUGUGCGCCGCCCGGGGCUCCCUCCGCGGACGCAGGGCCGCCGCUCUGCCGGGUGAAGCGAAACCGGCGGAGGGGCGCUGGCCCCGCCCCGCCCCGCCGCGGCGAUGACUCAUUAAUGCAGCAAUUAGGCCUGAGUCAGCCCCGGGCGGCGGCGGGCGCGCGCGGCGCGCUCCCGGGAGGCCGCGGCGGGGGCAAAGCGGCGGAGAGCGGUGUGCGGCGAGGAGGCGGCGACGCGGGGGCCUGCCCCGCCGCCGCCCGAACUGCGCCACACACUCACACGCGCGCGCGCGCGCUCACACAAACACACUCACGCGCGCGCGCGCGCGGGUCACGCGGCGCGCCGCCAUCUUGUGCGGCCGCCAUCUCCCCGCCGGCCCGAGCCCGCCCGCUCGCCGACUCACCGUUUUCGUCAAAUAAAGACAUAAACCCAACGCUGCUCGCCCGGGACUGGGAUGAAGUGAGGCGCGCGAACCCAAGUCCGAGGAGCGACGGCGGAGGCGGCGGAGGCAGCGCAGCGAGCAGCGGCCGGGCCAGGCGCCGCCGAGCAGCGGGGAGGGGCUGUCCCAGCGACGUCCGGGGUCCACACCCUUCAGCGCCCGGGGCCUGGCGACCUGGCGCGGAGAGACGGCGCACAUCUGUAUCAGCACAGCCAGUGGUUGCAAAGAAGACACUUCUGUGCCAGGACCGAAGUCCCACCGUGUUGCUAGGUAAUGUUUUGUUCACUACUGAAUUGAAGUGUUUGAAGCAUUUAAAUAUGUAGUUUUAAAAGUUUAAGAGUUUUUACUUAAACUGGUUUGUCAGGGAGACUGAACAUCAAUCAAAGAAGGCCCCUGGUAAAUGACUGUUAAAAUUGAGUGGAUUUAUAAAGGGGCUUCCCUGGUAGCUCAGCUGGUAAAGAAUCCGCCUCCAAGGCAGGAGACCCAGGUUUGAUUCCUGGGUCUGGAAGAUCCCCUGGAGAAGGGAUAGGCCACCCACUCCAGUUUUCUUGGGCUUCCCUGGUAGUUCAGACAGUAAAGAAUCUGCCUGCAAUGCAGGAGACCUGGGUUCAAUCCCUGGCUUGGGAAGAUUCCCUGGAGGAGGGCAUAGCAACCCACUCCAGUAUUCUUCUGGAGAAUCCCUAUGGACAGAGUGUAAGGCCGGACCACGGUGGCCAUCUUGGCUUUUCCUCCCCCUCUUCCCUUUCCUGCCGGUGGGAAAAAGCCCCGCCAGACUCUGACUAUUGUGCUCUAUUCUCUCAUUCCCUCCCCCACUGCUGGAGUGUCCUUGAUGUAUCGGUUCCUGGUAGAGAUCAACCCUCUCCUAAUGGAGAAGACUCUUGAGAGUCCCUUGUACUGCAAGGAGAUCCAACCAGUCCAUUCUAAAGGAGAUCAAUCCUGGGUGUUCAUUGGAAGGACUGAUGCUAAAGCUGAAACUGCAAUACUUUGGCCACCUCAUGCGACGAAUUGACUCACUGGAAAAGACUCUGAUGCUGGGAAAGGUUGGGGGCGGGAGGAGAAGGGGACGACAGAGAAUGAGAUGGCUGGAUGGCAUCACCGACUUGAUGGACAUGAGUUUGAGUGAACUCCGGGAGUUGGUGAUGGACAGGGAGGCCUGGCGUGCUGUGAUUCAUAGGGUCGCAGAGAGUCGGACACGACUGAGCGACUGAACUGAACUGAACUGAACUGAACCUCCCCCUCCUAACCUCGUGUCCAGAAACAGCAUUCUGCCCAGAAACAGCAAGAACUAUUCUGCUGCGUCAGCACAACACUGAGCAGAUGGGGCAACAAACCCAGUCUUGUCUCCCCGCAACUGACCUAUGAGGGACCACCACUCCAAAUCUUGCCUAAAGCUAUAUAAGUUGCCUCUUGCUUUUGUUCCGCGCCGACUUCCUCAACCUUGCUCUGAUGGGUCCUGGAAUCCUGCCCAGGGGCGCCUAGCCAUUAAAGCCUGUUAUAUUAUCUAUUUGGCAUCUAGGUUCUUUUUUAACAUCAUUGGGCCAUUUUGACCUUACACAGAGGAGCCUGGCGGGCUAUUGUCCAUGGGGUCCCAAAGAGUCGGACACGACUGAAUGACUAAGCACAGAACAUAGGGUUUAUAAACAUAAAAGAUUUUUAAUUUGGACAUCAAUGCUUAAGGAAAAACU